AAACCUCUCACGCCCCGGGUCUUAACCGAACCGCGCGGCUGUGGACCGUGGCCGUCUGGCCGGCGCUUGUCGUCGGCCCGGCCGAAAUAUAUGCGGAGCGCCUCUGCUGCCCGCGACGACCGAGCGUUGUAGACCCCUCGCUUGAUCGGCGUGAGCGCAGGCUCCCAAACCUAUCU
RNAcentral lists this unclassified non-coding RNA (176 nucleotides) under uncultured fungus. Its description in RNAcentral is "sequence contains ITS2". The record is from RNAcentral. Lineage: Eukaryota; Fungi.